This is a long non-coding RNA of Equus caballus (horse), 3130 nucleotides long. NCBI's taxonomy places the organism in Eukaryota, Metazoa, Chordata, Mammalia, Perissodactyla, Equidae. The record is from Ensembl.
GUAGCACUAGUUGCGGGUGCAGGGGGUCAGAGUGACUGGAGGAGAGAAUCACCCAAAGCUCCAUCAUCCUGAAGAAGGGAGCAAGGGAAUGACUUCGCGCUUCUUGAGAUAAACAUGUUGAAGAAUCUGGAGCAGAAGAUAAAUUAAUGUCAAGAGUUUAAUUUUCAGACCCAGCCAGGGACCUAAGACGAUCAAGAAAAACGUUCUUCUCCCCAUGCUCUCAUCUAGAAGAGAAGGAAAUGGAGGCUCAGAAUGCUGAUCUGAGUUGCCUGAGAUCCCACUGCUAGAAAUUGCAGCGAGAGACUGGGACGCUGGUCCCCUCUGGUUCCAAGUCCAGAUAGAAAUGAUUGAAGUUGUGGUAAACGUAAACAAGACGGAGCCAGCAGAUAAGCAGCGGCACCCCAACAGAAGUAAGGAGUGGAGUGACAUCUGGAGGAGACAGGAAGAAAGGAGUGUGAAAGAGUUGGGAGUUUGAAAAUACUGGUAAGUCCUUCUGGUUGUGCUACGUGGGACACUGCCUCAGCACGGCUUGAUGAGCAGUGCACAGGUCAGCGCCCAGGAUCUGAACUGGCGAACCCUGGGCCGCCAUAGUGGAUCAUGUGAACUUAACCACUCGGCCACAGGACUGGACCCAACCUUUACCUUUUCAAGUAGACCAAACUCCAACCUGUAUAUUCAGGACUGGAGCGAGAACCAGGAUGGAGAAAAAUUUUAAGGACUUUGUGUAAAGAAGGUCUUGCUUCCCUCCCGAGGCCAGCGAGAGAUGGUGAAGCAAGCAAGGAUGGAGCAACACCCCAAAGCUGUGACACGCAGGCCCCACCAGCGACUGGCCUUGGGCCCCUUCACCCCCGUCACUCCCUCCACCACCUCCCCAGGCUCUCCCAGCUCCCUGGGAUCCCAGGCUCUCCAUGCCCGGCCCAGUCUGCGACCAAUGCCUGGGCUAGGCCUGGCUGGUGUCUCCUUGCCCUCUAGGCCUUUGCCUCUUCCUCCAGGGAGUCCUCCCUAAUGCCCUUCCCAGACUGAGUCCGUCUGUGCUGCAUGUGUCAUGUCUGUGAAACGUAGAGGACAUAUGGCUCCUCCAGGAGGGGCACAGGAGUCUGGGAGGGAACCAGUGGGAGGCUGGCAAGAGGAAGCAAGGAGAAGCCAGCACAGAUGCCUGAGCAACUGACUGAAGCCUUGUCGUCUCUGACCUUGGAAGUCAGGCCCUCACUCGGUUACCUGAUCUCACGGCUCAAUUUGCAACCGGAAGCACAUCAUCGGCUCAAACGAACGUUGGUUGAAUGAAUGAACUGGAGGAAAAGAACCGGGGAGGCAGAGGGGGUCUGAAAACCUCGAGUCGGGUCUGCAUCCUGCUGUGUAAAAUGAGCUCACACGCGCACUGCAGGAGAUUCCAACAGCCUGGCCUGGGGUCUCCUCUUCCAUCAGGGCUCAGCUGAGCCACCGCCUGCCCCAGGAAGCCUUCUCUCAACCCCACAGUUCACUGGGGGUGGGGGCAGGGGCACCGUGCAUAAGCUCGUUGUUGGAGGGAGUAAUGGACCAAGUCCAGAAAGUUCCAUUGCAAGAUGAUGAGAGUCAGGGAGGCAGGGUGGCCUCAUGGGCUUUGCCAUUUUCUUUUUCUUACCUUGUUAAAUUAAAAGCAAUUUUCAAAAAAGUGAAAAGAAAACUCUCUCCCAAUAAAAGGAUCUUCCAGCUGGAGUUGGGAUCCUUCCUAGGAGAGUAUCAGUAUUUUCUCUGUUCUAGGGGGAGCGCUGGAAUAUAUCCUGGGGCAGACUCUCCUUUUGUUCCGGAGGACUGUGAGCUGGUUUGGUUUGAGGUCUAUAAGAUUCUUCAUUGUUGUGGGGAGAAGUCCCAAGGAAAGCCCCAAACCAAUGAAGUGAUCCUACUGCAGAUGUUUCAGAGGGAGGUGUUGAGGGCUUUUCUUAGCGCUGUACCUUGACGUGUCUUCUUGACAGGACUAAGCCUCUGCAGGAUCAGAGCCACCAUGGAGCAGCAUGGAGACUGGGCAGAGAAAUCAGCCAGCUCUGCUCACCGGUCCGUGAGGUGCUAGUCUUCCCAGAGAAAGGGCAGCUUUUUCUAAUUUUCACGAUGUGCCAUAGAGACUAGAGUUUCUGAGAGACAGUAUACAACCCCUGAGACCAUGCCAAGAAGGACCUAGGGAUCUGAUCUGAUCUCUACCAUUUACCAGAGGAAAGACUAUGAAGAGGAAGUAAACUGAGUUUGGUUUAGAAGCGCUGGCUCCUUGAUUUUGUUGCCCAGACGUGGUAUUAAGCCUGAAUAACCCAGCCUGCAGGAAAUGUGUUGUCAGCUGUUGAGAGUGUCUUGUCUGAGCAAUGGAGGAGGGAGAUGGAGUGGGCAGACGGUAUGCUACGUGGAGGGUGGGAGUGCUCCUAAGCCGAUGGGUGCUCCCACUGCGAAUCAGCCUGGGAUAGGAAAAGAAACAGGUCCAGGAAGGGGAGAGGGCUCUCUAGAGCCAGAGAAGUUGAGCCUGGAUUUCGGGUAGGAGGACAGCAGCAAAGAUCCUUGCAAGAUGGCAGCUGUCUGAGGAUCAAGGAGAAAGAAGACCAAUAGGGGAUGACCUAUAGGAGGGUGCGGAUUAGGCACCUAGGAAGAGUGAUAGCUGGAUAUUUUUUGACCACAUUACAGUCCAUUCAGCAAUCUCCAAGCCUUCAGUGAAGUUUAUUUAGCUUUGAAGAAAUAAAGAAGAUGCCUGGACCUGCGCAUUGGGCCACCGCAGCCUGGACAAGCCGUUACACAAGAGGGGAGUUGCGGUUUGGAGAAAAAUGACUGGCUAAAGGGACGAAUGCAGGGGAACCAUCUUCAUGGGACAGAUAAGCAUUCUUUGAGGACUAUCAGAAACACUUGGCGAGGGCAACCAGAAAACCAGGACUUCAUGCAGUUGUUCAAGUCAGGAGCUUGGAUGAAGUUAGUUGGUGUUAAAGGAAAGGUUGACUCUGGAAGGCUAGAGGUGGUGGGGACAUGUGAGAUCCCCAGGGGAGAACGAAUGGCUAGAAGGGAAGGGAAUGUGGCAUUGCUGACUCCAAAGUGCCACAACACAUUUUUCUUUUAGCUCUCAAAGUGAAAAGCUGACAGUUCCAUUCCUAUAAGGGGAAGGCAUUUUGCUAGAUGGAAU